Molecule: non-coding RNA, 114 nt
Organism: Acanthosepion pharaonis
Lineage: Eukaryota; Metazoa; Mollusca; Cephalopoda; Sepiida; Sepiidae
Source: the annotation of a GenBank genome assembly
UAUGGCUAUAUUACAUUGAAACUACUUGUUCCUGUACAAUCACUGAAGUUAAACAACAUCAAGCCUGGUCAGUACCUAGAUGGGUGACUGCUUGGAAAUAUCAGGUGCUGUAAG